This 212-nucleotide long non-coding RNA is filed under the name Mytilus galloprovincialis (Mediterranean mussel). Lineage: Eukaryota; Metazoa; Mollusca; Bivalvia; Mytilida; Mytilidae. The record is from RNAcentral.
UAGGCCUCAGGGGAUUACAUAAUAAUUUGCUUUACACUUAUCUAAAAUUGUGAAGAUUUAUAUUAACUAUUUAUCAAGUAAAUUAUUUCUUAAGCUAGUGAUAAAUAUCUUAACUAAUACUAAAUUAUAACAAUUAUUUGAAUUCCAUAUUUUAACAUUCUGACAUCUAAAAUAUACUGGUUAUACCCUUCCCUUCGUCGCCAAGAUUGCUC